GAUGAACGCUAGCGACAGGCUUAACACAUGCAAGUCGAGGGGCAGCGGGGGCGUAGCAAUAUGCCUGCCGGCGACCGGCGCACGGGUGAGUAACACGUAUGUAACCUGCCCUAUGCAGGGGGAUAACCCGGAGAAAUCCGGCCUAAUACCGCGUAACACCUUUGGGGAGCAUUCCCUUGGGGUUAAAGGAGAGAUCCGGCAUAGGAUGGACAUGCGUCGCAUUAGGUAGACGGCGGGGUAACGGCCCACCGUGCCGACGAUGCGUAGGGGUUCUGAGAGGAAGGCCCCCCACACUGGUACUGAGACACGGACCAGACUCCUACGGGAGGCAGCAGUGAGGAAUAUUGGUCAAUGGCCGAGAGGCUGAACCAGCCAAGUCGCGUGAGGGAAGAAUGUCCUAAGGAUUGUAAACCUCUUUUGUCGGGGAGCAAAAAGGCUCUGCGGAGUCGUAUUGAGAGUACCCGAAGAAAAAGCAUCGGCUAACUCCGUGCCAGCAGCCGCGGUAAUACGGAGGAUGCGAGCGUUAUCCGGAUUUAUUGGGUUUAAAGGGUGCGCAGGCGGCGUGUCAAGCAAGCGGUAAAAUAGCGGGGCUCAACCCCGUCGAGCCGUUUGAACUGGCGCGCUUGAGUUCAGGCGAGGUAGGCGGAAUUCGUGGUGUAGCGGUGAAAUGCAUAGAUAUCACGAAGAACUCCGAUUGCGAAGGCAGCUUACCAGUCUGCGACUGACGCUCAGGCACGAAAGUGUGGGUAUCGAACAGGAUUAGAUACCCUGGUAGUCCACACAGUAAACGAUGAGCGCUAGGUGUCCGGGUCGCAUGAGACUGGGUGCCCGAGCGAAAGCGUAAGCGCUCCACCUGGGGAGUACGCCGGCAACGGUGAAACUCAAAGGAAUUGACGGGGGCCCGCACAAGCGGAGGAACAUGUGGUUUAAUUCGAUGAUACGCGAGGAACCUUACCCGGGCUCAAACGACUCAGGAAUAUAUUGGAAACGAUGUAGCCAGCAAUGGUCUGAGUCGAGGUGCUGCAUGGUUGUCGUCAGCUCGUGCCGUGAGGUGUCGGCUUAAGUGCCAUAACGAGCGCAACCCCUACCGCCAGUUGCCAACGGGUAAAGCCGGGAACUCUGGCGGGACUGCCGGCGCAAGCUGCGAGGAAGGCGGGGAUGACGUCAAAUCAGCACGGCCCUUACGUCCGGGGCGACACACGUGUUACAAUGGCAGGUACAGCGGGAAGCCACCUGGUGACAGGGAGCGGAACCCGAAAGCCUGUCUCAGUUCGGAUUGGAGUCUGCAACUCGACUCCAUGAAGCUGGAUUCGCUAGUAAUCGCGCAUCAGCCAUGGCGCGGUG
This 1344-nucleotide ribosomal RNA is filed under the name uncultured bacterium. Its description in RNAcentral is "partial 16S ribosomal RNA". It matches the Rfam family "Bacterial small subunit ribosomal RNA", at positions 28 to 1364 of the family's 1533-position model. The record is from RNAcentral.